Molecule: long non-coding RNA, 1604 nt
Organism: Numida meleagris (helmeted guineafowl)
Lineage: Eukaryota; Metazoa; Chordata; Aves; Galliformes; Numididae
Source: Ensembl
CACAGCCAUUUGUGGGAUUUUACUGCACGCUAACAGAGCAUCCAGCUCCUGGCUAUCAAUGCGUAAGGCUCUAGGGACCAGGUAACACGUGCAAAAUAAACUGCUACGGCAUUGAAGCAGAGAUAUCAGUCAUUGCCACUUUCAGCUCUUGUUGCUAAGUGGUCCCAAAUGGCACCAUAGUUCUUGCAUGAAUCCACUGGAAGAGUCACUUCUGGGGAGGAAUGGCUCUGGGAACUGCACAGCUCCCAGCACACAUAGGUUGCGUUUGUUGGGAGCAAUGCAUUGUGAGAACACCAAUGUGAUGUCACCUCCUCCUUCAUCAGUUGUGAUGUUCCAGGCCCACCGCAGCCAUCGCGUGCAUCAGGGAGAUCUGUUCGUUGGCUUCAGCAUGGAUACAGGGAGAAGGAAAACACCAGGAGAGCUGUUAGAUAUGCCCAGCUCUUCAGACACCAUUACCAGGGACUUCGUGAGAGCCUCCUCACGGUUUUCCCUCUCUCUCACACUCACCUUUGUGCAGUGGAAGUCAACAGCAAAGAGAAGCCAUAGAGGAAGAGGCGGUGAAAAGAAGCAGCAGAAGGGGAAGAAGCACAUGCCAGGAGGAUGACAAACGUCUGAAGGAUAAGCAAGCUGAGCCAUUCUAGGCAAGUGUCUUUCUAUAACAUCUGGAUCCUAGCUGAAAGCUGCCAAUUUUGUACCCAUUUAGGCUCACGUCUGCCUAGCAGUUUGCUUAGACACCAGUGCACUUCUGUAGCAACACUGACAAAAACUACCUGGUUUGCCCUUUUUGUUUUGAUUUGUUUUAAGUGGGAGGGAAUUAAUUUCUUCUCUCUGAGUAAUUUUGAAAUGAGGACAAUACAUUGCAGUGGACCCAUGUGCUUAGGAAAGGAAUGAAACUCAAAGAGCAGUAGCAUGUACAAUUGCAAGUAAGACAAAACUACACGCAUCCACUGAAGACAUAAAGUCAAUGCACUGAUUCUUAUCACAAUGUCUAGGUAUUUAGCAACUUUUAUCUUCCUUCCCUACAUAAUCUUAUCUGUAAUUUACGUUACUUUUUCUGUGGCUGACCUCAUUAAAAGCUCUUUCAGCAGCUCUGGGAACAGAGAGGUUAAUGUUGGUCCUUCAAAGAGUGAUUCAACAAGUGUUGUUAGAGCUGCUUCCACAUGUGGAUCUGAUACAAUGAUUGCUCAUUGUGUUGGUUAUCCCUAUGAAAUGUGUUUGCAUCAGGUGUCCCAGUGAGAGGUGGCCUUGGUGAGCUAACAGCUGUAGCAUUGCUUCAAGAGCAGUCUGGUGCCAAAAGCUUGAAACUAAGGAGAAAAGAAUACAGGAAAGAGAGAAAGGGACAGUUACUCUUGUUGUAUAUUGGAAGACCAGAGGGGCAAAAGGAUUGAAGUUCUUCUGUAGUGGUUGACAAGGCAUACAUCUUCAAGUCGAGAGCUGAGUUCAGAUCCAAGUGCUGGCCUUUCUGGAGCACAGCCACAGUCAAUUUGUCCACAUAACCAAUGUGGUAAAUCCUUUGAGAGCUUUUGUUCCAUUCAGACAGAAAACUCCCCCUCUCACCUCCGCAUUGCAGCCCGAAACCUUCAUAGCAUCACAUGAAAGUAUCC